This 73-nucleotide transfer RNA is filed under the name Stegodyphus mimosarum. It matches the Rfam family "tRNA". Rfam says of the family: Transfer RNA (tRNA) molecules are approximately 80 nucleotides in length. Their secondary structure includes four short double-helical elements and three loops (D, anti-codon, and T loops). The record is from Rfam by way of RNAcentral. Lineage: Eukaryota; Metazoa; Arthropoda; Arachnida; Araneae; Eresidae.
GCCUUCGUGGUGUAGUGGUCAGCACACUCGGUGCGUAUUCGAGAGGUCCGUGGUUCGAGUCCCGGCAAGGGCA